CACGUAGGGCGCGAGCGUUGUCCGGAAUUAUUGGGCGUAAAGAGCUCGUAGGCGGCCUGUUGCGUCCGCUGUGAAAGCCCCGGGGCUUAACCCCGGGUCGGCAGUGGAUACGGGCAGGCUAGAGGUAGGUAGGGGAGAAUGGAAUUCCCGGUGUAGCGGUGAAAUGCGCAGAUAUCGGGAGGAACACCGGUGGCGAAGGCGGUU
This 204-nucleotide ribosomal RNA is filed under the name uncultured bacterium. RNAcentral's name for it is "partial 16S ribosomal RNA". It matches the Rfam family "Bacterial small subunit ribosomal RNA", at positions 524 to 726 of the family's 1533-position model. The record is from RNAcentral.